This 927-nucleotide ribosomal RNA is filed under the name uncultured bacterium. RNAcentral's name for it is "bacterial SSU rRNA". It matches the Rfam family "Bacterial small subunit ribosomal RNA", at positions 1 to 917 of the family's 1533-position model. RNAcentral also lists the same sequence under 1 other name. The record is from RNAcentral.
UGGAUCCAGACUUUGAUCAUUGGCUCAGGAUGAACGCUAGCUACAGGCUUAACACAUGCAAGUCGAGGGGAAACGAUAGGAAAAGCUUGCUUUUUCUAGGCGUCGACCGGCGCACGGGUGAGUAACGCGUAUCCAACCUGCCCAUCACUUGGGGAUAACCUUGCGAAAGUAAGACUAAUACCCAAUGAUAUCUCUAGAAGACAUCUGAAGGAGAUUAAAGAUUUAUCGGUGAUGGAUGGGGAUGCGUCUGAUUAGCUUGUUGGCGGGGUAACGGCCCACCAAGGCAACGAUCAGUAGGGGUUCUGAGAGGAAGGUCCCCCACAUUGGAACUGAGACACGGUCCAAACUCCUACGGGAGGCAGCAGUGAGGAAUAUUGGUCAAUGGACGAGAGUCUGAACCAGCCAAGUAGCGUGCAGGAUGACGGCCCUAUGGGUUGUAAACUGCUUUUAUAAGGGAAUAAAGUGAGCUACGUGUAGCUUUUUGCAUGUACCUUAUGAAUAAGGACCGGCUAAUUCCGUGCCAGCAGCCGCGGUAAUACGGAAGGUCCGGGCGUUAUCCGGAUUUAUUGGGUUUAAAGGGAGCGUAGGCCGGAGAUUAAGCGUGUUGUGAAAUGUAGAUGCUCAACAUCUGCACUGCAGCGCGAACUGGUUUCCUUGAGUACGCACAAAGUGGGCGGAAUUCGUGGUGUAGCGGUGAAAUGCUUAGAUAUCACGAAGAACUCCGAUUGCGAAGGCAGCUCACUGGAGCGCAACUGACGCUGAAGCUCGAAAGUGCGGGUAUCGAACAGGAUUAGAUACCCUGGUAGUCCGCACGGUAAACGAUGGAUGCCCGCUGUUGGUCUGAAUAGGUCAGCGGCCAAGCGAAAGCAUUAAGCAUCCCACCUGGGGAGUACGCCGGCAACGGUGCAACUCAAAGGAAUUGACGGA